UGGGCCUCAAAUAAUGUGUGACUACCCCCU
Molecule: ribosomal RNA, 30 nt
Filed under: Anopheles strodei
Lineage: Eukaryota; Metazoa; Arthropoda; Insecta; Diptera; Culicidae
Also listed under: 9 other names
Description: partial 28S ribosomal RNA
Source: RNAcentral